RNAcentral lists this ribosomal RNA (1451 nucleotides) under uncultured bacterium. Its description in RNAcentral is "bacterial SSU rRNA". It matches the Rfam family "Bacterial small subunit ribosomal RNA". The record is from RNAcentral.
GAUGAACGCUAGCGGCAGGCUUAACACAUGCAAGUCGAGGGGCAGCGGGUUUGUAGCAAUACAGAUGCCGGCGACCGGCGCAAGGGUGCGUAACGCGUGAGCGACAUGCCCGUCUCAGGGGGAUAAUCCGGAGAAAUCCGGUCUAAUACCCCAUGGUCCCGUUGGGAUGCAUGUCCUGAUGGGUAAAGAUACGUCGGAGACGGAUUGGCUCGCGUGACAUUAGCUGGACGGCGGGGUAACGGCCCACCGUGGCUACGAUGUCUAGGGGAACUGAGAGGUUGGUCCCCCACACUGGAACUGAGACACGGUCCAGACUCCUACGGGAGGCAGCAGUGAGGAAUAUUGGACAAUGGGCGGAAGCCUGAUCCAGCCAUGCCGCGUGAAGGAUUACGGUCCUAUGGAUUUUAAACUUCUUUUGCACGGGAGCAGUAAGGGUCACGCGUGGCCCGAUGAGAGUACCGUGCGAAUAAGCAUCGGCUAACUCCGUGCCAGCAGCCGCGGUAAUACGGAGGAUGCGAGCGUUAUCCGGAUUCAUUGGGUUUAAAGGGUGCGUAGGCGGUGGCGUAAGUCAGCGGUGAAAUUCACGGGCUCAACCCGUGCCGUGCCGUUGAUACUGCGUUGCUGGAGUACUGUCGCCGUGGGAGGAAUGUGUGGUGUAGCGGUGAAAUGCAUAGAUAUCACACAGAACACCGAUUGCGAAGGCAUCUCACGAGGCAGGGACUGACGCUGAUGCACGAAAGUGCGGGGAUCAAACAGGAUUAGAUACCCUGGUAGUCCGCACAGUAAACGAUGAUGACUAGCUGUCGGCGAUAGACAGUCGGUGGCUAAGCGAAAGCGAUAAGUCAUCCACCUGGGGAGUACGACCGCAAGGUUGAAACUCAAAGGAAUUGACGGGGGCCCGCACAAGCGGAGGAACAUGUGGUUUAAUUCGAUGAUACGCGAGGAACCUUACCCGGGCUCGAACGGUGCAGGAAGCCUUCAGAGAUGGAGGCGCUCUUCGGAGCCUGUAUCGAGGUGCUGCAUGGUUGUCGUCAGCUCGUGCCGUGAGGUGUCGGCUUAAGUGCCAUAACGAGCGCAACCCUUGCUGACAGUUGCCAUCAGGUGAUGCUGGGGACUCUGUCGGGACUGCCACCGUAAGGUGUGAGGAAGGGGGGGAUGACGUCAAAUCAGCACGGCCCUUAUGUCCGGGGCGACACACGUGUUACAAUGGUGGGUACAGCGGGAUGCUACGCGGCGACGCGGUGCAAAUCUCGAAAACCCAUCCCAGUUCGGAUCGGAGUCUGCAACCCGACUCCGUGAAGUUGGAUUCGCUAGUAAUCGCGCAUCAGCCAUGGCGCGGUGAAUACGUUCCCGGGCCUUGUACACACCGCCCGUCAAGCCAUGGAAGCCGGGGGUGCCUGAAGUCCGUUACCGCAAGGAUCGGCCUAGGGCAAAACUGGUAACUGGGGCUA